UAAAAUUAGAUGUGAAAAAAAAAAACAAGAAAGGUUUCAAAGUUCAAAAAAAAAAUCCCAAAGGUUCGAACGAAGCUAUGUUACUAUAUAUUUAAAGUAUCGACUAGUAGUUAUAUGGUCGAUAAAAGUGGCGUACCAUUUUGACCAUAAUACGUACCAUAUGCGUGUUCUUUUAGGCAAGCAAUGUUCGUAAAAAGAAAGUUUCAACGACCGAACCAAUAAAUAAUUCAGCUUUGAGCUGUCAAA
Molecule: long non-coding RNA, 246 nt
Filed under: Brassica rapa (field mustard)
Lineage: Eukaryota; Viridiplantae; Streptophyta; Magnoliopsida; Brassicales; Brassicaceae
Description: long non-coding RNA (BRAP_LNC002931)
Source: RNAcentral